RNAcentral lists this ribosomal RNA (253 nucleotides) under uncultured bacterium. Its description in RNAcentral is "partial 16S ribosomal RNA". It matches the Rfam family "Bacterial small subunit ribosomal RNA", at positions 524 to 776 of the family's 1533-position model. The record is from RNAcentral.
UACGAAGGGGGCUAGCGUUGCUCGGAAUCACUGGGCGUAAAGCGCACGUAGGCGGAUCUUUAAGUCAGGGGUGAAAUCCUGGAGCUCAACUCCAGAACUGCCUUUGAUACUGGGGAUCUCGAGUCCGGGAGAGGUGAGUGGAACUGCGAGUGUAGAGGUGAAAUUCGUAGAUAUUCGCAAGAACACCAGUGGCGAAGGCGGCUCACUGGUCCGGUACUGACGCUGAGGUGCGAAAGCGUGGGGAGCAAACAGG